Molecule: long non-coding RNA, 1397 nt
Filed under: Ursus maritimus (polar bear)
Lineage: Eukaryota; Metazoa; Chordata; Mammalia; Carnivora; Ursidae
Description: lncRNA (ENSUMAG00000003811.1)
Source: RNAcentral
UUCAAGAAUUUUUUCUCGACAGUAGACUAAAUAUUUGAAAGACCUUUACACUUUUGAAAAUCUAUAAUUUAAUACCAAUUUACUUUAGCUUUUAAAAAAUGAGUGAGAGAUUCUCAUUGUAAGCACAUUGGAAAACCAAUAGCUAUAGGUUUUGUUUUGUUUUGUUUUAACUGUAGUACUUUGUUUCUCAGCACUAUCAUUAUCAUUGUCAGGAAUUGGUUUCAGAAACCUCAAAAAAAGUUCGUGGAAAAGAAAGGAAGAGGAAACUCUUGAAAGAAUUUCACACUGUGAAUCUAAGAGUUCCUUGUAGUCAUCUUCAAGUGAGCUAGUUCUCAAACAUUAUUCUCUGUAGUCUUCAUGAGAACUCAGAUUAAUGGUAUGAGCCUGCUUGGAAUGUGACUUCUAGAUUCUAGCAAAGUAUCAAUCCUGGUCCCGAGACCCACCCGUAAGAAUAAAAUCAAAUCAAAAUUCAUCUAUAUUUUAAGAUCCACCAUGUGCAAGACACAACUUUAGAUGCCAAAAUCAACAAGUAAAUUUAGAUCUGACACUCUUAAUCUUAGAGAAUACCUUUCUGUGCAUUAUUAUUUAUGGAAAUAUAUUAUUUAUGUUAUGCAUAUGAAAAUCUGAACCUGUUAUUAUCUUAAGAUUUUUGAAUGUUUAUAGAAGUUCUUCCAAUGGAAGUAUAAAGCAGAAGGAGGAAAAGAUCAGACCCUUUCCCUGACACAGGAAUGUCAUUUGUUAAAUGGCAAUCCCAUGACAUUUCAAGUAACGUUUUUACAAAUUAUUUUUCCCUUUUCUUAGCAUGAAUUUUCUAAACCUAUCAUAAAAUUUUAAAUAUUCAGUGAUUUAUACACUAAAAAAAUUAUUUUUUUACAGAAGAUGAUUAUUUUAACCCUGAGAACCUAGAUGUGGCCACUCUUUGCUGUCAUCACUGUUAUCAUCGUCGUCAUCAUGAUCUCACACCGACACAUCAGAAUGGCUCCCACAAAGAAGGGUGGCAAGAAGAAGAAGGGUCAUUCUGCCAUCACCGAGGUAGUGACCAGAGAAUACACCAUCCACAUUCACAAGUACAUCUAUGAGUGGGUUUCAAGAAGUGUACCCCUCGGGCACUCAAAGAGAUCCAGAACUUUAUCAUAAAGGAGAUGGGAACUUCAGAUGUACACAUUGACGCCAGGCUCAACAAAGCUGUUUGGGCCAAAGGAAUAAGAAUGUUCCAUACCAUAUAUUCCAUGUGCAGUUGUCCAGAAAACAUAAUGAGGAUGAAGAUUCACCAAACAAGAUCUGUACGUUGGUUACCUAUGUACCUGUCACCACUUUAAAAACUACAGUUCAUGUGGAUGAGAACGAAUCGCUUAUUGUCAAAUAAAGGUAUAAAACUGAAAAAAAAAAAGUCUAUU